Molecule: long non-coding RNA, 965 nt
Organism: Quercus robur (English oak)
Lineage: Eukaryota; Viridiplantae; Streptophyta; Magnoliopsida; Fagales; Fagaceae
Exons: 2
Source: RefSeq, a predicted model, not a curated record
UAUUUGUUAACAUUUCAGCUUCAAAGUUGGCUGGCAUUCAACUGCUCCUCUAGCCCCAAAUUCUUUACCAAAAAAAAAAGGAUUAAGAUUGCAGCUGUAUGUCAGCGAUAGUCAGAGCUGUAAUAGCGAUUGAUCAACUACGUUGAUGUUUGUUCCUUACCUUAUUCUCUGAAAGGAAAAAAAAAAUAUAGAGGUGAUUGAAUUCGUUUCACUUGUCUAAUCAAGGUUCAGUGGUCCAUUGUCUUCAUGUUUUUGCUUAAAAAUGAUGCAUAGCAACAACUUAAAGCUGUUCUUAAAAUUUCGCACGAGUAUGACUCCAUUAAUAAAGAAGAGAGGGACAGCACAAGACCCCAUUUUAGAUGGAGUAGAAUUGUUUGCUUUUGAAGAAAUGGGAGUGGGUGUGGCAAUAAGAACUAUAAUUAUGUGUGUUACAGUAGUAUGACACAAGCAAUGACAUAGAUUUUAGGUUAUAUCUUGCUCUGGAUGUUUCUUUUUUUUUUAGAAGGCAUGAGUAUAGAUUCAGCAAUACUAAAAUGAUGCCUGUAAACAAAAUAUGUGAAUGAUGAAGAUUUGAUUGUUUAUGCUGCAUAAGCUUUGAUUGUUUAUGCUUUGCAACAUGAUAAAUGUCAUUCACCAUUAGAUUAAAUCUUAAGGAAGCUGCUCGAGCUUUAUAUAUACUUAUGGUAACCUGACCUGGCAAUCUACAACUAAACUUUCUUCCUCACAAGCCGAACCUUCACAAAAUUUUCUUUGAUAGGACUUGCUAUUGCCAUGGAUGCUGAUGUCUUUCAAAAGAGUAAAGCAAGCCACAUGCUGAUUCCAAGUAAUAAGAAAAAAUUUCAAUCAGAUCACCCUCAAGCAUCCAUCCAAAGGGCGCAUACACAUAACUAUAUCAACAGUAUCUGAACACCUAUAUGUUCUAUUCAGUAUCUAACAUCAAAAAUAUUUUAUGCGAGUUUUUUUUU